AACGAACGCUGGCGGCGUGCUUAACACAUGCAAGUCGAGCGAGAAAGGGAGCUUCGGCUCCUGAGUAAAGCGGCGCACGGGUGAGUAACACGUGGGUAACCUGCCUUUCAGUGGGGGAUAACAGUCCGAAAGGGCUGCUAAUACCGCAUUCGUCGACGAGCACUCAUGUGCUUGUGGAGAAAGAGGCGCAAGUCUCGCUGGAAGAUGGGCCCCGCGGUCCAUUAGCUAGUUGGUGGGGUAAAGGCCUACCAAGGCUUCGAUGGAUAGCUGGUCUGAGAGGAUGAUCAGCCACACUGGAACUGAGACACGGUCCAGACUCCUACGGGAGGCAGCAGUGGGGAAUAUUGGACAAUGGGGGAAACCCUGAUCCAGCUACGCCGCGUGGGUGAUGAAGGCCUGGUGUAAGCCGUACGUCGUAGGGACGGAAGGUACG
RNAcentral lists this ribosomal RNA (433 nucleotides) under uncultured bacterium. RNAcentral describes it as "bacterial SSU rRNA". It matches the Rfam family "Bacterial small subunit ribosomal RNA", at positions 29 to 456 of the family's 1533-position model. The record is from RNAcentral.